GACGAACGCUGGCGGCGCGCUUAACACAUGCAAGUCGAGCGAGAACCAGGCCUUCGGGCCUGGGGAAAGCGGCGAACGGGUGAGUAACACGUGGGUAACCCACCCUUGGUACCGGGAUAGCCCGAGGAAACUCGGAUUAAUACCGGAUGGCCCAAACAGCUUUUCGGAGCGGUUGGAAAAGGUAGCUUCGGCCUCCGACCAAGGACGGGCCCGCGGCGGAUUAGCUUGUUGGUGAGGUAACGGCUCACCAAGGCGACGAUCCGAGCUGGUCUGAGAGGACGAUCAGCCACACUGGGACUGAGACACGGCCCAGACUCCUACGGGAGGGCAGCAGUGGGGAAGUCUUGCGCAAUGGGCGAAAGCCUGACGCAGCGACGCCGCGUGGGGA
This 388-nucleotide ribosomal RNA is filed under the name uncultured bacterium. RNAcentral's name for it is "bacterial SSU rRNA". It matches the Rfam family "Bacterial small subunit ribosomal RNA", at positions 28 to 407 of the family's 1533-position model. The record is from RNAcentral.